RNAcentral lists this long non-coding RNA (10869 nucleotides) under Lactuca sativa (garden lettuce). RNAcentral describes it as "long non-coding RNA (LSAT_LNC001316)". Lineage: Eukaryota; Viridiplantae; Streptophyta; Magnoliopsida; Asterales; Asteraceae. The record is from RNAcentral.
UCGAUUAUGAUUACGGCAUCCCUUUUCAUAAUCUGAAUUAUGAGAACUUGGCAAAUUGAAAUGGAAAUAUUAUAGCAAAAGACUGGUUUAGUCUUUAUGUAAGACAUCAUGAAUCGUGUCCCAUAUGCUUCGGAUAUAGGAUCGAUUACAUGUGCUAUAUUCAUCCGUUCUAAAAUUUUCCAAAUGCCUGGGGCAUUAAGAAGGGAAAAGGUUUAGAACUGGAUAUGACUAAAAGGAUUAAACAAUUGUCGAGGACAAUCUAAGGUUUACCAAAGAUUGGUUACUCAAGGACAAUUGGAAGUAUAGUGAUAAUUCUGGAAGGACCAUAUUGACAUAGUCUGUAAGGAGGCAACUCUUGUUCAGAAGUGAUAGUCAAAAUGGAAUCUGGAAAUGUUUCAAAGUUAGAAAUUUCAAUCUGUGUAAGAUUAAGGAAACUUAAUGCAAGAAGGAUAUUUACAAGGAGUUGAUCUCCUUUGGAAUACUCUGUAAUGAUUGUUGCCAAGUCUUUGUGAGUUUGUUAGCAAGAAAGGGAUACAUGUGGAUCCCUCAAAGAUCAAAUCAAUCGAAACCUGGCUAACACCCGCAACGCCGACAGAAAUCCGACAAUUCUUAGGACUCGUUGGGUACUACCGAAGAUUCUGUUGGAUUAGUAUCUAAGUACGUAACUAUUUUGGUAUGUACUUGACCGAUGGUGCAUGGUCCUUUUGGGUUGCCUUCACCAAAGCAACUUGAUAGGAUGAAUUAUGGAGAGAAAGGAUUAAUUAUGAUUUAUUAAUAUAUUAAUAGAAUAAUAUAUUAAAGGAGAAAUUAUAUUGUUUAAUUAAUAUUAGUCAAGAAUUAAUAAGAAUUAAUUAUGUGGCUAAAAGACAUUAAUUAAAUGAAGGGGACUAGAACUGUCAAUUGUGUGAUAGUUGAAUAUUAGGCUAAUGGACUCCAUAGAGGAUGGAGUGGACGAAUUUUGUGGGGGAAACCCAUUAGAAAUCGUCCAAGGCCUCUAAGGAGGGAGUCCAUGGGUUGCUUAGCGCCUAAGCAUCCAAAUUAGGGUUUCCUUGUUAGAUAACCCUAAUAGCCUUACUAUUUAAGGACCCCUUGGGCACCAAAAAUGUGGGCAACUGAAUCCUUAGGGUUUCUACACGUUUUUGGGUGUCUCUUCUCUUCUCAUUCUUCAUCCUCUUUCUCUUGGUGUUUGUGAACCAUUAGAGGAGUGACAUUUGUGACUCUAAGCUUUCUAAAGUCAUUACAAGGAGGAUUUGUGAUUGUUAUUGCUACAUGACAAUCAAGGUAAUAUCUUAAACCCAUUGUUAUGUUAAUAUUGAUUAUCAUAUGCUAGAUCUAGGGUUUAAAGUCUUGGAUGAAUUGCAUGUACAAUAGAGAAACCUAGAUCCAAGCAUUAGGGUUUGCAUGAGCACAUAGGAUGUUAUUAUGGAUAAAACCCAUCAGUGGUAUCAGACCCUUGAUUGGUUUCUAUUCUAUGUGAUGCUAUGUUGAAUUAUUUACUGAAAAUCGAUUUUCUGGCCUCUGCCCGACCUGACUCGGCGACUUAGUGGAUGAACUCGGCGAGUGUGUCUGACUCGGCGAGUCCAGUCCCUCGGUGAGUCCAAGGGUCAAACAGAGGGAAUAUCAGGAUUUCUUGAUGUUUUGCUGAAGGAUUAAUACCAAAAACGUAUUUUGAUGAUAAAAUCUGAUUUUUAUUAUAUUUGGGUGAUUAUCCUUCAUAAAACAAAAGAUAAUUUCAAAUCUUUUGAAUAAUAGUUUCCUUAUAUGAUAAAUAUGGAUUAUUUAAUUUAUUUGGUAAUUAUCUUAUGAGAUUAGGUCAAAUAUAGAUAAUGACAAAAUUAGUUGUUUAAUUUCUAUUAUUUGUUAUUUGAUCUUUGUGUUGUGAAAAAGUUUCAAUUAUGCCCAUGUAAGUUUUAUGGUUUAAAUUUGAACUUAAGUUUUUGUUUUGAAAUUUAAAUAGUUAAAAUCCUAAUGUUUUGAAAUGUUUCAAAACUUCCCCUCAAGUUUUGGAAUUUAAAAGUUGAUUAAAAGUUUAAUUUAGAAAUGUUAAAUUCUAAAACCCUAGUAUAGUUUUGAAAUGUUCAAAUCACACCCCUAUGGUUUUAUUAAUUAAUUAAAUUGUAUAAUUAAAAGAGAUUUAAUAAAUCUAUAAAGUUUUGGUUUACAAUUUAAUUAAAUUAAAAGUAUAAUUAUUAAAUUUAACCACCUAAUAUUUUAAAAGGUGUAAAAUACACCCUAUACUAUAUAUAACAUUAAAAGUCUAACAUUAUAUAUAUAUAUAUAUAUANNNNNNNNNNNNNNNNNNNNNNNNNNNNNNNNNNNNNNNNNNNNNNNNNNNNNNNNNNNNNNNNNNNNNNNNNNNNNNNNNNNNNNNNNNNNNNNNNNNNNNNNNNNNNNNNNNNNNNNNNNNNNNNNNNNNNNNNNNNNNNNNNNNNNNNNNNNNNNNNNNNNNNNNNNNNNNNNNNNNNNNNNNNNNNNNNNNNNNNNNNNNNNNNNNNNNNNNNNNNNNNNNNNNNNNNNNNNNNNNNNNNNNNNNNNNNNNNNNNNNNNNNNNNNNNNNNNNNNNNNNNNNNNNNNNNNNNNNNNNNNNNNNNNNNNNNNNNNNNNNNNNNNNNNNNNNNNNNNNNNNNNNNNNNNNNNNNNNNNNNNNNNNNNNNNNNNNNNNNNNNNNNNNNNNNNNNNNNNNNNNNNNNNNNNNNNNNNNNCACACUAAAUGGUUCUAAGCAAAGGUAGCAAAGGGUGACUCAAUGUUUGUCAUAGUUCGGUGGAGCGUGUGUGGUUAACCGGCACAUCGAAUAGGUGACUGUAACAUGUGGGGGCACCAUGUAGAUUUGCAUGGUUAUUCACACCCGCUUUGUGAUCCUCGGCAUCCCAGUCACAAACUAGAGGGGCAUAUCGAGAUUUAAACAUGCCAUUGAAAAGUUCAAUGAAUCUCAAAAGAUCUAGGAAUUUUCAAUAGAUUUAAAACUUAAAUUUCUUUUUCGUUUUUCUUGGUGGAAAUUAGUGAAUCGUCAUUCACUUGCCUUCAAAUAUUCUGCAACUAGAUUACGACAUCCCUUUUCUAGGUUGUAGUGUAUUGUGUUGGAUCCUAGCCACGAUGUUUCAUUUGGGUGUCACAUUGAGGAUUCUAAUCAACUAACUUGAAUUUGUUUUCUCCUGUUUUGUAGAUGUCAAAGUAUGAUAACUAUGGUAUUCCCAAAUCCCGUGGAACAAGCCUUCCACAUGAAGAUGAUAUUCCACGAUUCGAUCGAGGAACAAGAGAUCAUGCUUCACUUCCUCCACCUCCUCAUAUUAUUCUCCUAACCCAGAAGUUCAAAAGAUUGAAAAGUUCAAACUCACUCAAGCCCUUUUAGCAAGUAAACAUGAAUCAGCAAUGAUUUGGCGCACUGGAAAAGCAAAGUUGAUUGGUGGAUCUGCCUUCCAGACCUCUAUGGAUAUAGGCAACGGCAACAAAAGGCAUGCCAUGAUCGAAAAGUUUGAUUAUAAGAGAGAGGCAAAGUCAAAAGUAGUUCCGUGUGCUGUUCCAAAGAAGUCAAUUUGCUUUUAUUGCCAAGAGAAGGGGCAUUGGAGACGAAGCUGCCCUAUUUACCUAAGAGAUAUAAGAGAUGGGAGAGUCAAUACAUAUGGCUGUAAUUUAGGUAAAAUCCAUUAACUAACUCUUUUAAGUUCCUAUUCUAGAUUCUUAAUACAUUAUGUGAUAAGAUUACAUUUCGAUGUCUUGUAGGAUCGUAGAAAAGAGAGGAAGCUUAAGGAAAGCUUAAUACAUUAUGUGAGCAGAAUCUAAUCGUGAAAAAUGGAUUUCGAUCGCAUUACUUGAAGAUUAGAAUCUUGAGCUACUACUUGGAGUUAGAAUAAGAUUGCUAAGAAAUAUGUAUUAACAUAGUUUUUCAAUUGAAUUGCAUUAUAAGGACAUAUUUUUCCGCAAUAAAAUAAAUUUUGAUUUUAUAUUAUUUAUUUAUCCUUGCAAUGGCGUGUAUGAAAAAUUGAUGUUUGUAAGUUUCUGUUAUUAGCAAUAAUGGAUUUGAUUCUUAAUUAUUUUAAUUGUGGUAAGGUCAAGAAUUUACCAAAUCAGGAAAGUUUCUCAUCGCCCAAGUUUCAAUUGGACAGAAACUUGGAAUCAUACAACUUGGUUGCAUGAUGAAUGAGAAAUUCAUAUUUGAAAAUUAGACUAAUUGGUUGACAAAGUGUCAAGUGAAGGACUAGGUGAUCGAGUACAUAAGGUUGUGUGUUGAUCAAGUCCACCACAAGAGUAACAAAGAUAUUCGUCAUGAUUUACUAAAGUUAAGUAAAUAUGAUUAUACUCAUGAGAUUAAGUGUAAUUCUCAGUUGAUUGAAAGAGUUUAAAUUAAUAGCAGAACGAAUAAGAAGAAUCAAGUAGGCAGAAAGAUAAAAGUUUCUCUAUUCUAAGAAGAAGGGAGAGUACCUUUUAUUAUGUUUUAUGAUAGGUCUUAAUGAUUAUGAACCAUAUCUCAAUUGAUCCUCUAAGUAAGUCUUAGUGCAAUUGUAUGUCUAAGAAGAGGAAUCAAGAAUUAAUGAAAUGGUUAAAUCAAAAAGUCAAUCAUACUUUGUUCCAAAACAAGUCUUAGAGUUAAGAUUGUGACAUUGAGUGACAAUUCUUAAGAAGGUUUAUAACAUUCAUAAAAUGUAGAAUUUGAAAAGGUUUUCUUAUUCUUGCACAUUUGAAAUUGGAAAGUUUUUGAUGUCUUGGAUAAGACAAAGACCAACUAGAACCAAUUUGGUCAAAGUAUUUUGUCUUGAUAAAAGCUACACUAACUCUUGAAUAUUUGUUUAUCAAGAAUUGUUUGUUGACAAGAGAUUCUUAUAUGUCAAGGAGUCAGUGGGAGUCUUAAUGGUCUUGAAAGGUUUCAAGAACUAAUCGAGAAUAAACCUCAUCAGUCAUCACUAGCACAUGAGUUGAGGUUGACAACCUAUCGUGUUAACACUAUCGUGUUUCUGUGCGGUUCCAAUUGAGUUAAUUGUGCAUGUGAGUUCUAUGAGUUCUUGUUUGAACACAUAAAAGGCAAGCACUUUGAUCAAUGAAAAGUACAUUGAUAGGAAAGGGUGAGCUGCUUAACUACUUGGAAGACAUGGUAGGCAGUUGUGUUACCAUAAGGCAAGAGAUCAAGAUUGAGAAGGUUAGGUCCAUAAGAGUUUGGAUUGUUGGAUAAGGUGUCUAAGUCCAUAACUUAUUUGGUACAUACUUGACCUGACCCGGCAUGGUCUAUUUGGGUUGCACUUCACCCAAACGAUUUAUGGAUAAUUUUAUAAGAAUUGUAUACUUACGAUUUAUUAAUAUAUUAUAAGUUAUAAUAUAUUAAUAUGAAGUCAUGUUAUUUAAUUAGUUUUAGUCUUAAAUUAAUUAUGAAUUAAUUUAGAGAUUAAAAAGAAGACUAAUUAAGUUGUGGGCUAUUGUUUUAUAUGGUGUGGGCUAAUACUCAUUAGUUAAUGGGCUAGGCUUAUAUGGAAGUCCAUGGAUGAUCCAUGGAGCUUUUAAACCAUGGAUCCUUGGAAAAGGAAAGGUCAUGGGUUAUUAGGGUUUCACCCUAAUCAUGUACACUAUAUAAGCAUGAUUAUGUUGCAUGAAAUAGCCACUAGUGGCACUAGUUGUGUGAGACUUAGUGGUGGCCGAUUUCAUAAGAAAGUAUACUACUCUCUCAAAGUUUUCCAAGUGUUUGUGGUGAUUUGUGAUUCCAUUUGAGGCAUUCACAUUAUUGGUGCUAGGCUCUCAAACUCCAAGCAAUCAACCACCAUCAAAAGGUAUGUAUUUCUACUAGUAGUUUUAUGAUUCAUAAUCCUUAUGCUAUGCUAGUUAGGAAGAAACCUUGGAAAUUAUUAUUUGCAUGUAUUUUAGAAGAAAACAUAGAUCCAAGGUUUAUUAGGGUUGCAUGCACACUUAGGAAGUGUUAGAUUGCUCAAAACCCAACAGUGGUAUCAGAGCCUAGGCUUGUUUUCUUGAAUACUUGAUGCAAAUUGCUGAAAAUUGAAGUUUAUGUGCUGUCUGCACAGCAGACUCGCCGAGUCCAUGAAGGGACUCGACGAGUCCAAGACAAAAUUCAUCCAACUCGGCGAGUUGGUUCAUGCACUCGACGAGUUGGACCCCCAGACAGCAUAUCUUCGAGUUUUGGUGCUGGAAUUGGUCUAGAAUCAUUACCUUAAACUGUUUUGGACUCAUAAAACCUGUUUUUGAUGUGGUAAUGAUGAUGGUGGACCAAUUUCAAAGUUAUAAUCAAAAUUUCAAGUUUAUAUGUGUUCAUAUGAUUCUUGAAAUUGUUGAUGUGGAUGUUCAUGUUCAUAUGAGUUUUGUUAGAUCAUAGGAAUUAUUUGCAAAUUGUUUGUUAGUUAAUUCUUGAUCUUAAUGUGUUUUAAUGGAAUUCAUAAUUUGUCCUCAAGUUAUGGAAUUCCAAAAGUUUUUUCUUUUAAAUGUUUUUUUUAGAAGUCAUAAGUUACACUUUUGAAGAGUUUUUCUAAUAAAUGCUUUUAUGGACUUCAUAACUUGUCCUCAAGUUAUGGAUUUCCAAGAGACUCUUCAUUAAAAGUUUUAAACACUUAAUUAAAACUCAUAAGUUAUGAAUAUCCAAAAGUUUAUGAAUUGUUCAAAACUUGCCCUCAAGUUUUGGAAUUUGUAAAGUCUCACACAAACUUUAAUUCCAUACCCUAGAAGUUUUAAAAGUUAAAAUUCUACCCUUAUACUAUUAUAAGAUUAAUGGUUAAUUAUUAUAUAUAUGUAUAAGAACAAGUCGUUUUACCGUUAGUAGGCCUCAUUCACGAAGCCGGUCUAUAAGGUGGGUAUAAGGUUGUUGCCUAUAAAAUGGCAACUUAAUGGGUGUCCACUCUCACCCACCGCUUGCUUGACUGGUGGAGGGUCGUUAGCCGAACGGGUAGGACAAUGACUUUAAAUUCUCAUUAAAAGUAUAAUGAUUAUUAUAAAGUAACUAAAUAUUUUUUUUAAUUCCCAAUCUUAGUUACUUUAGGAAAAAUGUGAAUUUGGUGCUAGCCCAUGGAAUUCACACUUUGUACCUUACCAAGUCGUUGGUGGAGCGUGUGUGGUUAACCGGCACACUAACUUGGACUAGUAAGGAUCACGAAGGGUGACUUAAUGUUUGUCAUAGAUCAAUGGAGCGUGUGUGGUUAACCGGCACAUUGAUUGGGUGAUAAUAUUAAGGGUACCAAGUGAAUUGGUAUGGUUAUUCACACCUUGUUUUGUGAUCCUCGGCAUCCCAGUCACAAAAUUUGAGAGGGCACACUCGAGAUUGAAACAUGCCAUUGAAAAGUUCAAUGAAUCUCAAAAGAUCUAGGAAUUUCAAAUCCAAUUAAAACCUAAUAAAUUAUUUCGUUUUUCAUGGUGGAAAUUGGUGAAUCGUCAUUCGCCUACCUUCAAAUAUUUUAUAGCUUGGAUUACGGCAUCCCUCUUCCAAAUUAUAAAAUAUUGUGUUGGGUCCUAGCCUUAAUAUUUCAUAUUGGGUGUUAUAUUAAGGACUUUGAAUCAACUAACUUGAUUUUCUCCCAUUAUAGAUGUCUGGUUCAGACAACUAUGAUCUUCCCAAAUCUCUUGAAGAUGGUGUCCCUCAACAUCAUGCUUCACUUCCUCCACCUCCUCCAAUUAUUCUCCCUCACCCACAAGUUCUUGAAAAGUUUAAAGUCACUCAAUCCCUAUUGGCAAGCAUAGUCUAUGUGUGCUCACAUCUUGGAGAUAAAGUCACAUAUUGACAAGCCGGGAGAGUUGGGUGUCAAAGUCUCGUGAAAGUUGGAUGUUCAAUCACUUUCUUAGUAACAUAGUGAGUCUCUUUGGGACUACUAUGAGACAGACUAUGACAUGACCCUUAAUGAUGUUAUCUAUUUGCUUGGUGUUGUGGAAUCAGCAAUGAUUUGGAACACCAGUAAAGCAAAUUUGAUUAAAAGAACAACUUCCCAAGUCUUAAAUGGACAUUGACAAUGGUAGCAUUGGAUAUCUAGAAAAGGAUUUCUCUUCCCAAUGGAAAGGGAUCGGCCAUAGUCAACUCGGUUGACCAAAUGGUAAAGAGAAAGGCUAAGUCUGAGAUAGUCUCAUGUGCCAUUACCAAAGGGUCCAUGUGUUUUGUUGCCAAAGGAAGGGGCAUUGGUUGCGAAGCUGCCCUAUUCACCUGAAAGGUCAUAAGGUUGAUCAAGUCAAGAGGUUUGACUCUACUUCGGGUAAAGUCCACUGUCUAACUCUAUUAAGUUCCUAUUUGGAGAUUCUUAUUACAUAAUGUGAAUGGGUCACAUGCUGAUGUUUUUAAGAAUCAAAGAAAAGAUAGGAAGCUUAAAGUAAGUAUAUGUUGAUUCUGAUUGCAAAGGUGGGUUUCGAUCGCAUGGUUCGGCAAUCAGAAUUUUGAGCUGUUGCUUAAGAGUUAUAAUAUAUUGCUUAUGAAUAGAUAACAACAAGGUUUUCAUGUGGAUUGUAAGGAUAAGUUUUUCCGCAAAGUUUUAAAAUAAAAGAAAAAAAGGGUUUUAAUUUUAUUUAUUUUAAAAAUAUCCUUACAAUGGCAUCUGUGGAAAAUUGUUGCUUAUAUGUUUCCAGUAAUAGCAAUAUUGGAAAGUGGAUUUGAUUCUUUCAUUUGUGGUAGUGUCUGAAUUUACCAAAUGAAGAAAGUUUUUCAUCACCCAAGUUUCAAUUGGACAGAAACUUGGAAUCAUACAAGUUGUAUUGUAUGAUGAAUGAGAAUUUUCAUCUUUGAAAAUUAAGACUAAUUCUUUGAUCACAUGUAUAUGUGAGUCAAUUGAAGGACUAAGGAAUUAGGUACACUGGGUGUGCGCUGGUCAAGGUCCACCACAAAGAUUGAUUUGUCAUGAUUUACUAAAGAUUAGUAAAUAUGAUUAUACUUAUAAGGUUAAGUAUAAUUCUGUAACAUUGGAAAGGUUACAAUGUAUGACAAAACAAAUGAGAAGAAUCAAAUUAGGCAGAAAGAUAAAAGUUUCUCAAAUCUGAAAGGAUGGGAGAGUACUUUAGUAUCGUAUUUCAUGAUCAUCUUAAUGAUUAUGAAACCAUAUCACAAAUUCAUACUCUAAGGACGUCUUAGUGCAUUGUUAUGGCUAAGAAGAGAGGUCAUGAAUUGUUGGAUUGGUUAAAAUCAAGAAGAUGAGUCAUACUUCGUUCCAAAACAAUUCUUAGAGUCAUACUCCAAGAUUGUAACUUUGAGUGACAUAAAGGAAGAUUUAUUAACACUAGUCAAAUGUAAGAGUAAAAUGUUUUCUACUCUUGUACAUUUGAGAUUGGUAAGUUGUGAUGUCUUGGAUGAGACAAAGACCAACUAAGACCAAUUGUGUGAAGUGUUAGUCUUGAUAAGAAUCCGCACUAUCCCUUGAAUAUUUGUUUUGUCAAGGAAUGGUUCUUGACUGGGGAAACUUAUAUGUCAAGGGGACAGUGGGAGCCUUAAAGAUCCUGAAAGAGUUUCAAGAUUUAAUCAAGAGUAAAACCUGUAAUUUAUCACUAGCACACGACUUAAGGUUUGCAACCUAUCGUGUUGACAUAAUUCUUAUUUCUGUACCUACUUCAAAUAAGUUGAAUUUGCAUGUGAGUUAUCAGAGUUCAACUUGGAAGCAUUGGUGGGCCUUGUGCUACCAAGGUGACAAGAAACUAAGAUUGAACAAGUUUAAUCCAUGUAAGGCUGAAUUUGUCACUAACCUUAUCUUGUGAUUAUGGUUUUGACAAAUUCACAUGGAUAGGAACUCAUACACUAUAAAAUCUAAGUGUCAUAAGGUUUCUCUCCGAUUCAUGAAAAUGAUGGUGAGGAAACGCUUUCACUAAGUAGAUUUUACGUAGAUAUCAAUUGUGUUAUUUGCAUUUUCAAAAGUCGUUAGUGGAGCGCGUGUGGUUAACCGGCACACUAACAUGGACUUGUGAGAAAUGGCAAAUGCCUAAGCAAUUGAGACUAUGAUUACGGCAUCCCUUUUCAUAGUUCUGAAAAUUGUUUAGACACACAUGUGAGCUAUCUAAGAAAGGGUGUAUGAAUCUAAAUUUCAGAAGUCCAACAGAUUUCUGGAAAUGUGUCAGAGCUAGUGGGAGCAUAAGUGUUAUGCUGAUAAUCAUCAUGUUAGUGGGAGCAUGACUAUUAUGAUUAGUAUUGCAAGCUAGCAAUGUUAAUUAUAGAAAACAAAGUUUCAAUCCGUGAAGUUGCAGGGGUUGAAAAGUUGUUUUGCUAUAAUUAAGGGAGAGGAAAUUAUACUUCAUUUCAAUUCUAAAGCUUAGAUUGAGAUUUUAAUCAUCUUUAGUCAAGAAUAUAUAUAUGAAUUUUAUGUCGGAAUGGUUCAACUUGAAGAAAUUCUAUAUAUAUUGCGUUUUCAAAAUUCGAUUAUGAUUACGGCAUCCCUCUUCAUAGUUAAAUUUUGAAAACAUGGCAAAUAAAAAAUAUUGUAGCAAAAGACUGGUCUAGUAUCAUGUCUUUAUGUCAAACAUCAUGAAUCGUGUCCCAUAUGCUUCGGAUAUAGGAUCGAUUUCAUGUGCUAUAAUAUUCAUCCUUUCUAAAUUUUCCAAAUGCUUAAGGCAUUUAGAAGGGAAAAGUCUAGAACUGGAUAUGACUAAAGUGAUUAAGCAAUUGUCGAGGACAAUCUGAGGUUCGCCAAAGAUUGGUUGCUCAGGGACAUUUGGAAGUCUAGUGUUAAUUUUGGUAGGACCAUAUCGACAUUUUCUGAAAAGAGGUAACUCUUGUUCGGAAGUGAUAGUCAAAUAGGACUAUGGAAAUGUCUCCAUAGGUGGAAGUGAUUCAAUCUAUGUAAGAUUAGGAAACUUAAUGCAAAAAGGAUGUUCCCAAGGAGCUGAUCUCCUUUGGAAUGCUCUGUAAUGGUUGUUGUCAAGUCUUUCUGACUUUGUGCAUAAUCAUUACAAGAGGAUCAAUGCAUAUAAGUUUAGAAUCUAAC